This 492-nucleotide ribosomal RNA is filed under the name uncultured bacterium. Its description in RNAcentral is "partial 16S ribosomal RNA". It matches the Rfam family "Bacterial small subunit ribosomal RNA", at positions 29 to 507 of the family's 1533-position model. The record is from RNAcentral.
AGUGAACGCUGGCGGUAGGCCUAACACAUGCAAGUCGAACGGCAGCACAGUAAGAGCUUGCUCUUACGGGUGGCGAGUGGCGGCCGGGCGCGGAAUACCUCGGAAUCUACUUUUUCGUGGGGUGUAACGUAGGGAAACUUACGCUAAUACCUCAUACUUCCUACGGGUGAAAGCAGGGGAUCUUCCGACCUUGCGCGAUUGUAUGAGCCGAUGUCGGAUUAGCUAGUUAGCGGGGUAAAGGCCCACCAAGGCGACGAUCCGUAGCUGGUCUGAGAGGGUGAUCAGCCACACUGGAACUGAGACACGGUCCAGACUCCUACGGGAGGCAGCAGUCGGGAAUAUUGAAGAAAGGGCGCAAGCCUGAUCCAACCAUACCGCGUAGGUGAAGAAGGACUUCGGGUUGUAAAGCCCUUUUGUUGGGAAAGAAAAGCAGCAGGUUAAUACCCCGCUGUUCUGACGGUACCCAAAGAAUAAGCACCGGCUACCUUCGUG